GUCCUCUACUCGUUACCUGUAUUAAUGGCACCUGUUUGAACUUGUUAUCAGUAUAAAAGACACCUGUCCACAACCUCAAACAGUCACAUUCCAAACUCCACUAUGGCCAAGACCAAAGAGCUGUCAAAGGACACCAGACAACAAAAUUGCAGGCUGGGAAGACUGAAUCUGCAAUAGGUAAGCAGCUUGGUUUGAAGAAAUCAACUGUGGGAGCAAUUAUUAGGAAAUGGAAGACAUACAAGACCACUGAUAAUCUGAUAAUUGUUUUCCUUCUCAUUUUGUCUGUUAUAGUUUAAGUGUACCUAUGAUGAAAAUUACAGGCCUCUCUCAUCUUUUUAAGUGGGAGAACUUGCACAAUUGGUGGCUGACUAAAUACUUUUUUGCCCCACUGUAUGUUUGUUUAGUGCUAUAGAUGCUAGUCAGGUGACAGAAGUAAUCGGGUGGCACAGGGCUAAUACUACCUUCCUCCCCUCCAGCAUUUCCACCUUGGCUCCACUCUCAAGAUGGACAGAAUUGAAAUCCGGGAGAUCAAGGAUCCACGAUAUGGUGUCCAACUGUUCCACUGAGCAUCCCCCCCAACCUUCCCCUCCUCUCCUUCCUCUCUUCUGCUCGUCACCUCAGCUCUUCAGGUCCAACCAUCGGUCUUGAAGUGGAGGCUCCAUCCAGCUGUUUGUAAAAAUAGAAAUGAAAUGGAAGAGAAAAUAUGUCUGUUUGAAGAGAACUACGAUAAAAAUUAAUAAUAUUAUCAGCUUUAUAAAACUCUGGGAAAAUAAUAAAUGAUAUACAGUAUUAAUUAAUUAUCACAUAUUACUGUAACAAAGGUAAUUAAGUUAUUGAUGAUGAUAAU
This 847-nucleotide long non-coding RNA is filed under the name Oncorhynchus kisutch (coho salmon). RNAcentral describes it as "lncRNA (ENSOKIG00005042086.1)". The record is from RNAcentral. Lineage: Eukaryota; Metazoa; Chordata; Actinopteri; Salmoniformes; Salmonidae.